CAGGAAAGGUAAGCAGAUCCUGGUCCACAUGUGGUACCCGUCGUCUUGGUUAUGUGAUUACAAAUCCGGUAAAUAGUCUAAUUCGGUAGGUCACAUUCAUGAAAGGGAAGGGGAUUGUAGUUACGACGUAAGGAACAUAUCCGAUAUUAUGUGUGAAACGGUUAUUCUAUAACGGUCAACCAACUCGUGAUGGCGUCCGUAAAAUUUACGAAGGGAUGAUUUCAACU
This 227-nucleotide long non-coding RNA is filed under the name Mytilus galloprovincialis (Mediterranean mussel). Lineage: Eukaryota; Metazoa; Mollusca; Bivalvia; Mytilida; Mytilidae. The record is from RNAcentral.